GUAGGGAAUAUUGGGCAAUGGAUGCAAGUCUGACCCAGCCAUCCCGCGUGCCGGAAGAAGGCCCUCAGGGUUGUAAACGGCUUUUGACGGUGAAGAAUCGACAGGAUGCGUCCUGUUUUGACGGUAGCCGUUGAAUAAGCACCGGCUAACUCCGUGCCAGCAGCCGCGGUAAUACGGAGGGUGCGAGCGUUGUCCGGAUUUAUUGGGUUUAAAGGGUGCGUAGGCUGGAAGGUCAGUCAGCGGUGAAAAGCUGUCGCUUAACGAUAGUCUUGCCGCAGAUACUUCCUUUCUUGGAUGAGGAGGAGGCCACUGGAACGGAUGGUGUAGCGGUGAAAUGCAUAGAUAUCAUCCAGAACACCGAUUGCGAAGGCGGGUGGCUGUACCUUAAUCGACGCUGAUGCACGAAAGCAUGGGGAGCAAACAGGAUUAGAUACCCCUGUAGUCC
Molecule: ribosomal RNA, 445 nt
Filed under: uncultured bacterium
Lineage: Bacteria
Description: partial 16S ribosomal RNA
Rfam family: Bacterial small subunit ribosomal RNA
Source: RNAcentral